GACGAACGCUGGCGGCAUGCCUAACACAUGCAAGUCGAACGGAGAUUAUUUCGGUAAUCUUAGUGGCGAACGGGUGAGUAACGCGUGGGCAACCUGCCCUCUAGAUGGGGACAACAUCCCUAAAGUGGUGCUAAUACCGAAUUUGACAGCAAUCUCUCAUGAGGAUGCUGUGAAAGAUGGCCUCUAUUUAUAAGCUAUCGCUAGAGGAUGGGCCUGCGUCUGAUUAGCUAGUUGGUGGGGUAACGGCCUACCAAGGCGAUGAUCAGUAGCCGGUCUGAGAGGAUGAACGGCCACAUUGGGACUGAGACACGGCCCAGAAUCCUACGGGAGGCAGCAGUGGGGAAUCUUCCGAAAUGGGCGAAAGCCUGACGGAGCAAUGCCGCGUGAGUGAUGAAGGAAUUCGUUCCGUAAAGCUCUUUUGUUUAUGACGAAUGUGCAGAUUGUGAAAAAUGAUCUGUAAUGACGGUAGUAAACGAAUAAGCCACGGCUAACUACGUG
Molecule: ribosomal RNA, 498 nt
Filed under: uncultured bacterium
Lineage: Bacteria
Description: partial 16S ribosomal RNA
Rfam family: Bacterial small subunit ribosomal RNA
Source: RNAcentral